AGAUCAAGGAACCCCUGCAGUAAGGUGCAUCAGCACUUUCCUUAAAAAAUAAAUAAGAUGUGCGGGGAACAAAAAAAAAAAAUCCCAUCAGCAGAUCUGUCUGUGAUGCAAAUGCACCAUUAGUUGUUCUGAUCUUUCGUGUUGAUUUUGUGCAAAGCAGCGGGCUGUGGUUCUUGUGCUGGGGCCGUUGAGGUCACGUGACGGAGCCAAACUGCUGGCCUCAUUCAGAACAUCUGCAAACAACAACAGAAAAUAUCUGCCUGCACAGGCCUUGAACCACAAUCAGCAAUUAUGUUUGCGUAGGUAAUACCAAUGCAUGGGUCAGAUUUUAAGAGCUUUUAAUUAUAGGGUUCCAUAUAACAAUUACAUUUAAAAAAUUAACAUGGGCAUGCUCUUUGUGUCUUUAAGGACUUAACAGAGGAAAUAGUUUUAUAAAGUAUGGCAAUACUAACAUGAAUGAAUAACAAAGCAAUGAUAUGCAAUGAGAGACAGAAGACAGGGCCACAGUGGGCAGGAUGGCAGAACUGCAAUCAAACUCACCAGUUGACUCUCACGUUAUACCGACUCUCAUCAAUGGCCAUUGCUUUAGUCAUAGCUACGAUCGCCCCCUUGUGGAAAAGCAUGAAUAUUACACCUUAAUCUAGCACAGUCAUAGUGCACAGCAGGCAGUGAAGACCUCAGCGCAAGAGUUAAGACAGACUACAACACACAAUUCAGCAGUUUAGGAUCCAGCAGAUCUACAUGGGUGUUGUGAUUUGAUUUAUUCUAAUAAAUACAAUUCAUUUUAAGGGCUCUUUUACCCUGAACACAAACACAGAGCAGUAAAGAGACACAUUAUUAUGCUCUG
Anguilla rostrata (American eel) is the source of this 847-nucleotide long non-coding RNA. RefSeq lists it as uncharacterized. The record is from RefSeq and is a predicted model, not a curated record. The transcript is spliced from 2 exons. NCBI's taxonomy places the organism in Eukaryota, Metazoa, Chordata, Actinopteri, Anguilliformes, Anguillidae.